CCUACGGGAGGCAGCAGUGAGGAAUAUUGGUCAAUGGGCGCGGGCCUGAACCAGCCAAGUAGCGUGAAGGAUGACUGCCCUACGGGUUGUAAACUUCUUUUAUCAAGGAAUAAAGUGAGGCACGUGUGCCUUUUUGUGUGUACUUUAUGAAUAAGCAUCGGCUAACUCCGUGCCAGCAGCCGCGGUAAUACGGAGGAUCCGAGCGUUAUCCGGAUUUAUUGGGUUUAAAGGGAGCGCAGAUGGGGUGUUAAGUCAGUUGUGAAAGUUUGCGGCUCAACCGUAAACUUGCAAUUGAUAAUGGCAGUUUUGAGGACAGCUGAGGUAGGCCGAAAU
This 333-nucleotide ribosomal RNA is filed under the name uncultured bacterium. RNAcentral's name for it is "partial 16S ribosomal RNA". It matches the Rfam family "Bacterial small subunit ribosomal RNA", at positions 338 to 668 of the family's 1533-position model. The record is from RNAcentral.